This 256-nucleotide ribosomal RNA is filed under the name uncultured soil bacterium. RNAcentral describes it as "partial 16S ribosomal RNA". It matches the Rfam family "Bacterial small subunit ribosomal RNA", at positions 26 to 285 of the family's 1533-position model. The record is from RNAcentral.
AGGACGAACGCUGGCGGCGUGCUUAACACAUGCAAGUCGAGCGGUAAGGCCUCUUCGGGGGUACACGAGCGGCGAACGGGUGAGUAACACGUGAGCAAUCUGCCCUUCACUUCGGGAUAAGCCUCGGAAACGGGGUCUAAUACCGGAUAUGACCGUGCCAUGCAUGUGGUGUGGUGGAAAGUUCUGGCGGUGGAGGAUGAGCUCGCGGCCUAUCAGCUUGUUGGUGGGUAAUGGCCUACCAAGGCUUCGACGGGUA